GAUGAACGCUGGCGGCGUGCCUAAUACAUGCAAGUCGAGCGAACAGACGAGGAGCUUGCUCCUCUGACGUUAGCGGCGGACGGGUGAGUAACACGUGGAUAACCUACCUAUAAGACUGGGAUAACUUCGGGAAACCGGAGCUAAUACCGGAUAAUAUAUUGAACCGAAUGGUUCAAUAGUGAAAGACGGUUUUGCUGUCACUUAUAGAUGGAUCCGCGCCGCAUUAGCUAAUUGGUAAGGUAACGGCUUACCAAGGCAACGAUGCGUAGCCGACGUGCGCGGACGUCUGCCCCAACUGGAUCAGGGACACUGUCCAGACUCCUACGGGAUGCUGCAGUAGGGAAUUCUCGUUAAUGGUCGAAUGCCUGACGGAGCAACUCUGCGUGAGUGACGAAGGUCUUUGGAUCGUAAAACUCUGUUAUUAGGGAGUAACGAAUGUGUAAGGAACUAUUCACGUCUUGACUGUACCUAGUCAGAAAGCCACGGCUAACUACGGC
Molecule: ribosomal RNA, 497 nt
Filed under: uncultured bacterium
Lineage: Bacteria
Description: partial 16S ribosomal RNA
Rfam family: Bacterial small subunit ribosomal RNA
Source: RNAcentral